Molecule: ribosomal RNA, 431 nt
Filed under: Listeria monocytogenes
Lineage: Bacteria; Bacillati; Bacillota; Bacilli; Caryophanales; Listeriaceae
Description: bacterial SSU rRNA
Rfam family: Bacterial small subunit ribosomal RNA
Source: RNAcentral
UUUAAAGAGAGUUUGAUCCUGGCUCAGGACGAACGCUGGCGGCGUGCCUAAUACAUGCAAGUCGAACGAACGGAGGAAGAGCUUGCUCUUCCAAAGUUAGUGGCGGACGGGUGAGUAACACGUGGGCAACCUGCCUGUAAGUUGGGGAUAACUCCGGGAAACCGGGGCUAAUACCGAAUGAUAAGAUGUGGCGCAUGCCAUGCCUUUGAAAGAUGGUUUCGGCUAUCGCUUACAGAUGGGCCCGCGGUGCAUUAGCUAGUUGGUAGGGUAAUGGCCUACCAAGGCAACGAUGCAUAGCCGACCUGAGAGGGUGAUCGGCCACACUGGGACUGAGACACGGCCCAGACUCCUACGGGAGGCAGCAGUAGGGAAUCUUCCGCAAUGGACGAAAGUCUGACGGAGCAACGCCGCGUGUAUGAAGAAGGUUUUCG